This 88-nucleotide transfer RNA is filed under the name Candidatus Nanosynbacter sp. HMT-352. Its description in RNAcentral is "Nanosynbacter sp. HMT-352 tRNA-Val". Lineage: Bacteria; Bacillati; Minisyncoccota; Nanosynbacteria; Nanosynbacterales; Nanosynbacteraceae. RNAcentral also lists the same sequence under 2 other names. The record is from RNAcentral.
GUGUUAUUAUAUAUGUAGUUAGUAACUUUUACAGAGUAUUCCAUUGACGUUGAAGAGGUGAGAGGUUCGAAUCCUCUAUUGCCCACCA